This is a non-coding RNA of Sinocyclocheilus anshuiensis, 468 nucleotides long. The record is from the annotation of a RefSeq genome assembly. NCBI's taxonomy places the organism in Eukaryota, Metazoa, Chordata, Actinopteri, Cypriniformes, Cyprinidae.
AUGAGGAUCAUCACACACAUGUCUCUGUCAGUCACUGAAUCAAUGAGUUUGAUUUGCAGAGAUCUCCUCAAAGAAGACAGCGACGCUGGGGUGUGUGGCCAGCGCGGGCUUCCCUCAAAGAAGACAGCGACACUGGUGUGUGUGGCCAGCAAGGGCUUCCCGUCAGACUGGAGCCUGAGCUGGAAGGUGGACGGGAGCAGCAGGUCUCAGGAGAGCAGCGCUGGGCUCCUGGAGAAGGACGGUCUGUACAGCUGGAGCAGCAGCCUGACUCUCUCUGAGCAGGAGUGGAUGGAGAGCGUCUCAGUGAGCUGUGAGGCCACACGGUGCGGCCAGCCUGCGCUCACUGCACACGUGACGAGACAGCAGUGUUCAGAGUAGAUCUGCUGCUCUUCUCACUCGUGUCUCACUGGAGACUAACAGCACAUGAGCGACUCCUUCAUUCUCCACAUCCAGCUUCAGUCGCUCUCA